AAUCUAUAUCUCAUAUAUUUCCGGCGUUAAGAUGAAAGCGUUAAGAUGAAAAUUUGAGCGGGCGUAAUCCGAUUAUGAGAUAUAGUGUUUCAUUAUUACUCUCUGCAUUUUCUAACUCGUCUUGCCAAAUUCUAAAUCGGUAUCGGCCAUCUUUGCGCAUUCUUCCAGAAAGUUCUUUGUUCAAAUUGGUCGUUGCAGGCAAUUAUGAAAUCUCGUGAACAUUCAUGACAAUUAAUAAUUAUUUUUUUUAUUACGUUUGAGAUCUCUGGUAAAUAUAGAAAUUAGCAUAUGUAAUUUUGCGGUCGAGUAAAUUAGGCGUGAAAUUGCAGCUAUUGAAGUAUUGAAGCGGCCAUGUCUCCGGUAAUUAACUGGAUCGUCAUUAACACCGAUUUGGUUGCUUUGAUCGACGACCGUUUUCGAUGGCAGUGUAAACUCUGUAAGUAAGCUCCGAUAGUCGCAGCGGCCCCGUUAAUUCAAAGAGAACAUUGGACUUACUGAUAUUCCAACCGCAAACGAGAGACGAGAGAUGAGAGAUAACCAUGUGCCAUUGCAUAGAUCAGGCUUUUUGAUCUAAAUUAAUAAUGAGAUACAUUAAGUGGCAUCAGAAUUAUUCAGAUCCAUGUUGAAUAUAUAAAAUUGUGACUAGGAUUUUGAUGAAUCCAGAGAGAUCUUCAGUUUUUUGGCACAUGUUUACACUUUUGUCUGCAAAGAACCACUGAUGCAUAUAGAAAGUAGGGUUUGCAUGUACACACACAUACGUGGAGAAUGCAUCGUGGGAGAUUUUGUAUAGCCGGCGCCAGAUUGAUUCGGUUCACCUAAACCACCAUCCUCUGCCCCUUCCACUGAAAAUCAGGGAGACAGAGAAGGGUGCCAGUGGAUACCGCCCUGGAUUUUCCACCAGCAAGUCGUGGCGAGGAAGGGUGUUUACUCAAGACACGACAAUUCAUUACGUAAUUGAAUUGAAUGAGCCCUCUCCUUCGCUCUACGUCACCCCUCUCCCGGGCGUUUGGCUCGAACGUUAUACGCGUGCGAAUGCUCAGGCACGCGUGUGCGUGGUCUGGCGAUGUAUGCCAGCGAGGGGUGGACUGGGAUUCAGAGGCGGAUUAAGGGUUGGAAUGGAAGUCCGGAAGCCGACGAGUUGGGUCGCAUUCACCUGGCGCGAAGAAGGAUUUGCGGGACAAGACAUUCGUUCACGAGGAUAAGUUCUGUGUAUUUAAUAAGUACUAAGCGAUGAAGAUUUGAAGCAAUACUGCAUCGCAAGGACAAGAAUCAACAUUUCCCUCUGCAAGACAACAAACGCGACGUUCUUCACAAUAAAUCGCGCCCGAAAAAUCGAGAUCGGCAGGAACGAAAUUGAAUUUACGUCGAGCUGACGUAUAUCACCUUCACGGCCCUGAGAGUUCACUUACGUAUCGUCGAGGAAGGAGAGAUAAAGAGAAAAGGAAGGAGGAAAAACGAUACUGGUGAAAGGAGAAGUGGAUAUUGAAAUGUAGAAAUAUAUAAAAGCUGAGAGAAUGAGACAGCAUGACAGAAGAAAUGCAUUUGUCGCGAGAAACAUGCAGGGCUGGUUUCUACAUCGGUAAAUCUACAUUGUCUCGCGCAGAAGAUCGACUAUCCGAUGACCGAUAACGAGGCCGGACAAAAAGGAAAAGCUUCGACCGCGGAGAGCAUCGGAUUAAUUACCGCGCACCCGCGGCGGCCUCUUUCUGCCUCCAGGUAAACAUAGCGGCCCUGGCGGCUGCACGCGAGAGUGGUAGGAUGGUCGUCGGACGGCAUCCUGGCCAGCGGCGAGGGGUGGUUUCCCCGCGAGCGUUCCUGCGGCGGGCGGAAAAGCGGGCGCAAAUGCUAAUGAGCGUCGGUUUAGGGGUGGAGUGUACCUGCCUCCCGGAAGGGAACGAGGGGUUGCGAGUCUGGGUCGUGACUUGGGUGGAACGAAAAGGAGGGAGAAGCUGGCGAGCUGCGCCACCGGGGCGUUUCUAUCACGCCCAUUCGCGUGCGGAUUGGCCGGCGGUCGAAUGGCGCCCUGGGCGACGCGUGGCGUCGCGACGCCGACGUCGUGAUGUGCCUCCCGUCGACGUGUCCCCCGGCCGACGGUUCUCCUCGCGACGGCGGCGGCCGAGAGCCGUCGGUGUCGAGGCGCGACGUCGCGCGCGAGAGUCGCCCCGAUAAUCGCGAGGAUGGAGCAGCUCGCACAGUUCGUCUCCAAGAGCUUUGACAACGCGGCAGCAGCGAGCGUCGAGGCCGGUUGCAGAGCGGCUGCCGGGGGCAGGAUUACGCUCAGUGUCGCGCAUCUUAUCGGCGAUCACGCUGUGGACGACGGUGAUCGACAUGAAGGCGCGCACGAGGCUGCGAUCGGCAUAGAGACGAGCGGAAGCAUCGAAGAGCCGCCGUCGCCAGAAGGCCGGCUGCAACCGGAGGAUCUUUCGGUCACGGCCAAGAUCAAGGACAUUCGGGACACCGCGGAGAGUUUGCCGCCUCUGAAAACGCCUGAGCUGAAGCUGUCAGUUCGCAAAUUGCUCGGAUGUACCCCCUCACCGCCGCCCAUUUCGAGAGAUCGAUCAGCCAGUCCGGAGAACUGCGUCGAAUUGAAAAGUCAAAGCUCGAGUGACGGUAAAACAACUAUAUCCAGCAGUGACCAGGCCAAAGUGUCCUCGCAGGUUUCAAGGUCGAGUGGCCAUAGCCAAGAAGAGUCUACCAAGGGAUCCAGUUGUCGGAGUAACGGAAACGGCAACGGCAAGCAAAGGAGAUCGCGGACAAAUUUCACUAUUGAGCAGUUGGCCGAGCUGGAGAGACUCUUUGACGAGACACAUUAUCCCGACGCAUUUAUGAGGGAGGAGUUGAGCCAGCGACUUGGUCUCAGUGAGGCGCGGGUGCAGGUCUGGUUCCAAAACCGACGCGCCAAGUGUCGUAAGCAUGAGAGCCAGCUGCACAAAGGUGUCGCCGGAAGCAUGGUGCUGGCGCCGCGUAGUCCACCGACGACGUUAGAACCCUGUCGAGUGGCACCUUACCUGCCGGCGCUCAGGUUGCACCCGCCGCCGAUUCAGGGAACAGGCGCCAGUGUCACGGUGGGCUCGGCCUUUGACCCGGCGGUGCUGCACUAUGCGGCGGCCGGCGGUCUGUUUUGUCUACCGCCACCACCGCCUCCGGCGCCGUCGGCCGGUCAUCCUCCCCAUCCGCUGAGUCUGGCAGCGUCGCUAGCCGCUGCGGCGGCCCGCUCGAAAACAGCAGCAUCGCCGACCUCAGGCUGAAAGCGAGGCGGCACCAGGAGGCCUUGGGGCUCGAUAGGCCCGCGUAAGACCUACAGUGCGUCUUGGACGACAAAAAUUCGACGAGGAUGAAGGAGGACGAUCGGGAUCAGAAAGGACUUUGCUAUUUGCGAUUCAGAGCUGUGUGAAGAAAGGAUUGAAAGUGGAUUGAAACAGUAAUCGCGAUUUGACUAAAAGCUCAAUCUUGAACAUAGUAUAUCCACUUAAGAACUUCACUGUACCUACGAAAUGAAUCGCUUCGCGCACGAUUAUUCGUGUACUUCUCCCGAUACCUCGUUCGAGCCUGAGAUGGAAGCCGAUAAUCCGGAAAUGCAGUCCUUUACCAGAUAGGGUGAGAUGCACGCAAAUAGACCGAGAGUAGUCACGCGUCGGCGAUAAGAGAGAGAGAGUGUGUGUGUGCAACGAUAAAGAAAGAGGGGAGCGGGUGCGAGCGAAAAAGUGGAAGAAACGAGGAGCUAAACGCGAGUUUCCGCCCCUCUGGGCAGAUCCGAUACGGAAUCAAUUCGCGUAAUAGUUUCGUGGGGUGGAAGGGAAAGAAAGAGAGAGAGAAAGAGGUGGUCCGGAUGGUUAAAUCGACUGGCGGUCGCAGGGGUGGGUUAACUGAAGCGAGAGCUCGGAUACGGGCCAUUACCACACCUGUCCCUCAACUUCGACUUCGCAGGAGGCGAGCCCAGCAAGCUCUAAUGAAGAGAAGCAAUCACUUAAACCGAUCCGUUACAUACCCGGUGUGCCCUGGGGCGAUACAGUUUUAUUUGCGCGGCGCCGAUACGCUUUUACGGUUCACUCGGGGGAGUGCUCGUCGGCGACGAGAUGCGAGCGAACGGGACAACAGAGCGUGUCCCGUGUUUGCCGACCCGAAUCGCUCCUCCGGGACAGCCUGGAUCAUUUGUAAUGCGAGAUCGUUAACUGUUCGAUGAUUCGCGAAUCGGAAAGAAUGUUGGAAUGUUGAGACUCUUUCGUUCUCUCUCCGAGAUAUCGAAUUUGAAGGAACUGUGAUAACAAAGACGCACCAGUGAAUGAAAUCCGUUAAAAGAGACAAUUGUAAAAUUAGUUUAUAACUGUAAUAUGUGAAGGAAUUGGGUUCGACAGUUUUAUUUUGUGUCAAAUUAAUAGUCGACUCAUUAUUUGAAAUUAUUAUAUAUACGAAUAUCAAUAUAACUCGUUACUUACCGUUCACAUCUGAAAAAUUAUAUCACUUUUAUUACAGGUGAAUUCUAAAUCAAAGCAAAUGUAACGAUACGUAUUUUUAUCACGUAACUCAAAAAGAAAUGUUAUGUAUUUUGAAUGAGAGAUGCGAAAAAUUAACUACGAAAUAAGAUAGAAAAAAAAAACAGAUAAAUAAUGAAAGUAUUACGGAUCUUCAUACAAAAUUAUCACCAAAAAAAAUGUAACUAACAUCAAAGUGAAUUUAGGAUAAACUUCAUCGCUAAAGAAGACUCGCAACGCUACUCGGUAUUCGUCAAAAUUUAUUUUCGAAUGAAAUGUAGUCACGUAGCGCACAGAGAACCAAGACAACGAACGCAGUAUGGAGAGUUAAGAAUGUGAGCUGGUAUAAUUUCAAUGUCUUCAAUCUUGGAUGCUAUAGAUACGAACAAGUUAAAUACCAGCCACUCUAAAAAUAAAAUUUUGAUAUAAUUUUCCUAUGAUAUUGUUUUGGGUGUAACGAAUAAUUUUAGAUUGCCUCUUUAUACAGAAAACAUAUAACUUUCACUAUAACACUAUUUUACUUUGCUAUUAUAUAUUUAUAUUACUACAAUUUAUAAUAUUUAUAAUAUUUCUAAUAAAUUACAAUCGUAAAUUAGCUAGAUUUUACAUUAAGUAUUUUUUUUUUUUUUUUUCAAAAAACUGUAUUAUAUCACUGUUACACCCACAGAGAUCAAUUUCACGCAUCUGUAGCAUGGAUAUCCGAAGCCAACGAAAUUAUACCAGUUUCAAUCCUGGAUAUGGACCGUCUGAUUGUACGCGUGCAGUACAGUAUGUACAAUGUAGCGCUACAGCAUACGAUUCGGACAGUUAAUUAACGGAAGAAGCUUGGCGGCAGGAAGCAAUAAAAUGUUCCCGUAAACACAUUGCAACAACAUGCAUUGAUCUUAAUCCUACGAUUUCAAUCCUUAAGGAUUAAAAGAAUUCGAAUCCCUUAUCUGCUGUCCGAAUAGAUGGAUCCACAAUACUCAAAUCGAUACUUGUACGCACUUAUACGUGACGCUUUAUAAUGUGUAAAGCCGUCCGACUCGAUUACAAUAACGAAUUCGCGUUCGGAGAGAAAACGAUUCAUAAUUAGACGGAAAAUUGCCGAAGCUAUAAAAUACAAUAUCAAGUGUGUAUCAUUCACCCUUAGAUGAUGGAUUUACAGUGUGAUUGCCAUAAUUUAAAACGGUAUGAUGGUCGAUUCAGCUGUGCACAGGAUGUUUAAGAAAUUUUCACCUAAUUACAAGUUUUUUAAUAAAUUUUUUUGUCAAAUUUAUCACCGAUUUUUUUUUAUUUUUGAUAAGUAAUCCGUAACUUCUGGAUAGGAUUUUUCAGUUUAGAAGUGUAUCUAAAUUCUUGUUUACUUUUAAGCAAACUUUAUAUAAAACUUUAUAGAAAAUCUGUUUUUCUUUGUAAGAAGAAUAUAUUUUCUUUGUAAGAAGAAUAUAUACUUUAUGUUGAACAAGGAUAGUGUUGUAACAUUCUGUGCAUGGCUGAAUACACUUUAUGUUUCGAAAGAUCAAGAGUUAUACAAAGAGGUACACAUACGAAACUGUCUUUAUCGCUCUUCCGAGAUCGGCAGCACCCUUUCGUUGCAUAUUGACAGACGUAAACGUGUCGUGUCGGAAAGAAUAUAGAAGAUAAUGUUUUGUGUUUCUUUUGUUUCUGUCCGUGCGAGACUUACAUGCGACGUUACUACUGAGCACUAGAAGAGAUUACCCUUAAGUACUAGGCAGUCAAGGUAAUAUGCAAUAAUAAAAAAAAAACACCGUGUAUGUAUUCUAUUACCGAGUGUAGAUACUGGAUAGAGAAAUUCGCCGGCGCUUGCGAGAGAAAACAGUGAAGCAAAAAAAAAAGUACAUUACGGCAUAUCAACGAUCUCUUGAACUGCAUCUUGGCAGAACUUUUCGUGCCGCAAGGAUAGGAUAAUCAGGUACUAGGAACAGCCCUAUACAGAGUUCCGAUCCUUUGAAAAGGGAAAGACACGAUCGAUCGACGUCCGAUCGAGAAGUCAAGCUCCAUAUACUGUAAUUUCUGAUUUUUACCACAAGUUCUCGAGUUUCAAUUCACCACACGCUUCUCGAUCGGAAUGAGAGAAGGUAUAGUCUGUAUAUAGCUCUAUAUAUAUAUAUAUAUAUAUAUACACAUCUAUAAUAUAUAGUUUCUUUCACAAUACGAAAUAAUGGUAAUAAUAUUGUAAAAGUCUACGUCAUAAUCUAGUUCCGCAUCAACGAAGCCGUUGCCUGGUAAAUAUUGAUUGUACUCGAUUCUACUAUGUUUUGCAAAUACUCGGAGGAUUCGCAGACACACGUGAGCAUACCUAAUAGUACAUCCUAAAGUUACUUCUAUCUGAUAGAAAGCGUCUCGGCCAGAGAUUUACAGCCAAGGCCGAAAGUGUUAAGAGUGUGAGUAAUGAUUUGAAAGUUUCAAAGGAUAGGAACCCGCUCCGAACACUGCCCGCACGAGGAUUCAUUAUGAUUAAAUAUAAUACACACCGUAUAAUAAUUACAAUAAUUAUAGUAUUAAUUAAGAAUUAUUAUGUUAAUAGUUAUUUAACCAUGUGUAUGGCUCAGUCUAUUAAGCUAGUCUCAUGCAACAACAACAAUAAAGAUACAACAAUAUAUUUACUUGUGAGUUUGUCGAGUUUCAAUUUAUGUCACUUAUUAUUUUGUGUCUGCUCUAGUUUACUCUUAUUUUUUUUUUUUUUGUUUUUUUCUCUUGUUUUCUUCGGUUGCAAUCACCCCGUUAUUAUAUAUCCCCAUACAUACUUCUUCGCACUCAAUUUUUACUCACGAUAGAAAAAACUGGAAAUUUCAAAUAUCAAUCAACAUUGAUCACUUUUCAGUCCUAUCAUUGUAAUAUUUAAUAUAAUAAUUAUAUAUAAAUAGACGAUCUCACCGUUACUUCACAAUCAUUUAUAAAUUUAUUACUUCGAUCUUAUCUUGACUGAGAGCUUUUUAAUAGCGUAUUAAUAAAUAAUUGCGAGCCACAUGAUCCCUCGACGAGAAACGUAUGGAUAAAAUGGAUUGUAGAAACUGUAUGUACCAGAAAAUCUAUACCGAAGUCAAAAAGAAAUAUAUAUAUUUACAACGACGAUGGAACACACUCUAGAUUGUAUUGCGAUACGAAAUUUCAUGUAGUAAUCCAAGAUCGAUGCGACAACGAGCAUUUUGUUUCUUCAUCACUGCCAAGAUCUUUCGUCUAGCUUAGGAACUAUCGAGAGGUGAACUAUACAACUUGUGUGCAAAUUGCCGUUAACUGUUAUUAAAUCCUUAAAAUGUAAGUCGGUGAAAGUGAGGUGAUAACGAUGUCGAUUUUGCGUAUGCAAUAUUUACACAUCCUAUACAUAUACGCGCGAUAGAAAAAAAAUUAAAAUAGUGACUAUGAAUUUUUUCUAUUUAGAUUUGCGUCGAGUGGCAUGUGGUUCGAAUUUUAUGUUUGUUUUUACUUUUUUCAAGCUCUUAAGUAAUUAUAAAAAACAGUAAUAUCACAAAAAUGGCGCAGGCAGGGCAAGGAAAGGGGCCAGAGUUUAGGGAUAAAAUUAUGACAAUAUACAUAUAUAAUAUCUAUAUUGCCAAGUUGAACGAGUGUGGAUUAAGUCAAGGAGCGGCCACGAAAUUCACCUAAUUCUCCGUGCAGAAUCUUUCUUCCGCAGGAACACAAAGAGACCGAACAGAAGUCUGUUGCAUGUGCCGUAAAUGACAAUGGAAGGAUGUAGAAUUACCCUUAUUCGAUAAGCGACGACAAAGCAUCUUUAUCGUAGUGUACUCAAUGUUUUAAUUCUUCAGUCGAAAUGAGAUUAGAACAUAAUCCUUUUUUUUAACGUUUUUCUCGCCCGCGCUAGUUCAAUUUCCCCCAGUCACUGGAUUUUUAUUGAUUAAUUUCAAAGUUUGAUUGACAAUAGCGACUUAAUGAUGGUCAGUUUUUCCAGGUUGAGCUUUCUUCCUUUGUAUUUUUUUUUCUCUUUUCUUACUUAAUUCCAAUGAUUGAAAAGAUGAAAAUUAAAAUAAUUUUUUUCUUUUAUAUCGUAAAACUAUUUAGAAAUCGUUUUUGAAGGAUUUUGCAACAAAUCAGAGAUUAUAUUUACUUAAAUCUCAAUAUAACACAUUUAUAUAAAUUUUGUCACAAUAUCAGUGAAUUAUAAUUCUUUUCCCACGUUUUUUAAAGUGAAAAACGAAAGAUAAAAGCGUGCAUCAUUUAAAGUAAAGAGUUGCUCGUUUCUUUGAACUGGCCCAAGUAACUGGAAUGACACAAUCUGUCCUCGAUUUCUUUCUCUUCUUGUUUCUCUCAAAAACGAUUU
This is a non-coding RNA of Linepithema humile (Argentine ant), 8754 nucleotides long. Lineage: Eukaryota; Metazoa; Arthropoda; Insecta; Hymenoptera; Formicidae. The record is from RefSeq and is a predicted model, not a curated record.